Molecule: ribosomal RNA, 524 nt
Filed under: uncultured bacterium
Lineage: Bacteria
Description: partial 16S ribosomal RNA
Rfam family: Bacterial small subunit ribosomal RNA
Source: RNAcentral
GACGAACGCUGGCGGCGUGCCUAAUACAUGCAAGUCGAGCGCAGGAAAUCGACGGAACCCUUCGGGGGGAAGUCGACGGAAUGAGCGGCGGACGGGUGAGUAACACGUAAAGAACCUGCCCUCAGGUCUGGGAUAACCACGAGAAAUCGGGGCUAAUACCGGAUGGGUCAUCGGACCGCAUGGUCCGAGGAUGAAAGGCGCUUCGGCGUCGCCUGGGGAUGGCUUUGCGGUGCAUUAGCUAGUUGGUGGGGUAAUGGCCCACCAAGGCGACGGCGCAUGGCCGACCUGAGAGGGUGAUCGGCCACACUGGGACUGAGACACGGCCCAGACGCCUACGGGAGGCAGCAGUAGGGAAUCUUCCACAAUGGACGAAAGUCUGAUGGAGCAACGCCGCGUGAACGAUGAAGGCCUUCGGGUCGUAAAGUUCUGUUGUAAGGGAAGAACAAGUGCCGCAGGCAAUGGCGGCACCUUGACGGUACCUUGCGAGAAAGCCACGGCUAACUACGUGCCAGCCGCCGCAGUAA